AAAAACAUGUCUUCUUGUUUAUUUAUUUGAAGUUUAACCUGCUCAAUGGGUUUUCCUAAAUGGCCGCAGUAUCCUAACUGUGCUAAGGUAGCAUAAUAAAUUGUCUUUUAAUUGAAGGCUUGUAUGAAAGGUUGGAUGAAAUAUAAGCUUUCUUUAUAUUAAAAUCAUGAAUUUAAUCUUUUGGUUAAAAAGCCAAUAUCUUUUUAAGGGACAAGAAGACCCUAUAGAUCUUAAUAUCUGAGUAGUUAUACUUAACUUAGUUAAUUUGUAAGUUAUAAAUUCUUAAAUAUUUAAUUGGGGUGAUUUUAGUAUUUUAAUAACUUCUAACUUUCUUUCAUUGAUUUAUGUUUAUUUGAUCCAGUUAUAUUGAUUAUAAGACUAAGUUACCUUAGGGAUAACAGCGUUAUUUCUUCGGAGAGUUCAUAUCGAUGAAGGAGUUUGCGACCUCGAUGUUGGAUUAAAAUAAGUCUUGGAUGUAGUG
This 481-nucleotide ribosomal RNA is filed under the name Brontostoma sanguinosum. Its description in RNAcentral is "partial 16S ribosomal RNA". It matches the Rfam family "Bacterial large subunit ribosomal RNA", at positions 1809 to 2560 of the family's 2925-position model. The record is from RNAcentral. Lineage: Eukaryota; Metazoa; Arthropoda; Insecta; Hemiptera; Reduviidae.